Molecule: ribosomal RNA, 239 nt
Filed under: uncultured bacterium
Lineage: Bacteria
Description: partial 16S ribosomal RNA
Rfam family: Bacterial small subunit ribosomal RNA
Source: RNAcentral
UGGCGGACGGGUGAGUAACGCGUGGGUAACCUGCCUCACACUGGGGGAGUAACAGUUAGAAAUAGCUGCUAAUACCGCAUAAGCGCACGGUUCCGCAUGGAACAGUGUGAAAAACUCCGGUGGUGUGAGAUGGACCCGCGUCUGAUUAGCCAGUUGGCGGGGUAACGGCCCACCAAAGCGACGAUCAGUAGCCGGCCUGAGAGGGUGAACGGCCACAUUGGGACUGAGACACGGCCCAA